AAGAUUUAAUAUAAUUAACAGAUACCAAAAGGUAGUUAUUGAACCCAAUUCUCUUUCUUAUAUGUAAUAUAUUUAUAUGUAUAUGGAUAUAUAAUAAAGAUUAUUAUUAAUAUGCAUAUUUGAGGUUGAUGGUGAUGUGUCUUUGGCUUGAUUCUCCCACCCUCUCUUUUGGCUUGAUUUUUUUAAAGUGAGGUUCAGUGUGAUUUGCGUGUCUAUUUUUUUUUUAGGUGUUAAAGUUAGGAAGAAAGUUGUGUUAGAUGGUCCGAUUAGUUGUGGAAAGAGCAUUGCACUUGCAUUACACUGCACUUGCAAUACACUGUGUAAAAUCAGAGGAUCCAGUCAAGUCUUUAUUUUGUAAACCAGAUGAAAAUGUUAGAGUAGCAUACUCAGAUUUGAUUACUUCUUACAAGGAGACUUUAGAUUCUAUUUUGGAACUCCAAGAGGUGUGUUUCUUGACUUGGAACUUACAUAUGAAAGAUAAAAAAGAAUACAAAUUUUUUAUGCUGGUUUCAUGUAUAAAAAGAACCCAUCUAUUACCCAAGCCACAAACGGUAAUUGAUUUCUUUAAUAGUACUUUUUUUCCUUUCUAGUUUCUUAUAAUUGACUCUAACGUUGCUUUUAUGUGUUUGGUAAUGAGUGAAAAAGAAAACGUACAAUUCCAUUUACAUAUUAUUUAGCUAUGUGGGGUGAAAACUGAAAACAAUGCUUCCACUUUGGCUUUCAAUUCAUCAUGCUCAUAAAUUUUCACUUGUGUGUGUCAUCAUGCCUCCUCUAAUUUUCUUUUUUUGCUUCCAACAAUGCUAAAAAAGACAAAAAGAGACUCCAUCAACAAGUGUGUAUUUAUAGUUUCAUGAAUUGAUGAUCAGUGACUUUAUUUAUGUAUACAAAAAUAGAUCCUAUAACUAGAUCUAAUAAUAAUUAUUAAGAAUAAACUAUUUUAUAAGAUUUCAAUUUUAUUUUAAUUAUUAGAAUAUUGAGUGUGACUGAUUUUAUGUAUAAAAAAUGGAUCCCCUAUAUAUACCUAGAUCAAAUAAACUAUUUUAGAAGAUUACAAAUUUUAUUUUAAUUAUUAGAAUAUUGAGAGUAAUAAUAAGUAAUUCAAUUCUAAAAACCAAAUUAAAAAUCUAGCUAGAGGUUAUCCCAUAUUUUUUCUCCAGUUUAAAUACAAGUUACUAAGAAGAACACGAUUUCACUUUGAUAUCAGUAAACCCUCUUGAAAGGUUAUCUUAAAGUCUUCAAAUUUUAAAUGAAAAAUCCAUUUUCUUGCAUUAAUUGUGACCCGCUAGUCAUAACAAGAAGCUUCACUAAUGCCUUAACAAAUAAUUUAACUUAACAACAAAAAAAGGUCCUCAUAUCAGAGCUAUCUAACCAUGUGACCUUAGAAAAGAUGCACUCCAAAGUACUUUCUAACCAUCCGUGGCUUAAUAGAAAAGAAUAUUCUCUAAUUUGUCUU
Molecule: non-coding RNA, 1453 nt
Organism: Arachis ipaensis
Lineage: Eukaryota; Viridiplantae; Streptophyta; Magnoliopsida; Fabales; Fabaceae
Source: RefSeq, a predicted model, not a curated record